UACGUAGGGGGCAAGCGUUGUCCGGAUUUAUUGGGCGUAAAGAGCGUGUAGGCGGCUUUGCAAGUCCGUUGUGAAAACUCGAGGCUCAACCUCGAGACGCCGGUGGAAACUGCAAAGCUAGAGUCCGGAAGAGGAAAGUGGAAUUCCGCGUGUAGUGGUGAAAUGCGUAGAGAUGCGGAGGAACACCAGUGGCGAAAGCGGCUUUCUGGUCCUUAACUGACGCUGAGGCGCGAAAGCAUGGGGAGCGAACGGG
Molecule: ribosomal RNA, 253 nt
Filed under: uncultured bacterium
Lineage: Bacteria
Description: partial 16S ribosomal RNA
Rfam family: Bacterial small subunit ribosomal RNA
Source: RNAcentral